RNAcentral lists this ribosomal RNA (499 nucleotides) under uncultured bacterium. RNAcentral's name for it is "partial 16S ribosomal RNA". It matches the Rfam family "Bacterial small subunit ribosomal RNA", at positions 28 to 507 of the family's 1533-position model. The record is from RNAcentral.
GACGAACGCUGGCGGCGUGCCUAAUACAUGCCAGUCGAGCGAAGUUUUUCUGGUGCUUGCACUAGAAAAACUUAGCGGCGAACGGGUGAGUAACACGUAAAGAACCUGCCUCAUAGACUGGGACAACUAUUGGAAACGAUAGCUAAUACCGGAUAACAGUAUUUCUCGCACGAGAGAUAUUUAAAAGUUUGUUAUGCUAACACUAUGAGAUGGCUUUGCGGUGCAUUAGCUAGUUGGUGGGGUAAAGGCCCACCAAGGCGACGAUGCAUAGCCGACCUGAGAGGGUGAUCGGCCACACUGGGACUGAGACACGGCCCAGACUCCUACGGGAGGCAGCAGUAGGGAAUCUUCCGCAAUGGGCGAAAGCCUGACGGAGCAACGCCGCGUGAGUGAAGAAGGAUUUCGGUUCGUAAAGCUCUGUUGUUAGGGAAGAAUGGAUAUGUAGUAACUAUACAUGUAAGAGACGGUACCUAACCAGAAAGCCACGGCUAACUACGUG